GUCUAUGUCCACGCUACCCUGAACAAGCCCCAUCCUGGCUGAUCUCGGAAGCUAAGCAGAGUUGGGCCUGGUUAGUACUUGGAUGGGAGACCACCUCGGAAGACCAGGUGCUGUAGGCA
Molecule: ribosomal RNA, 119 nt
Filed under: Pteropus alecto (black flying fox)
Lineage: Eukaryota; Metazoa; Chordata; Mammalia; Chiroptera; Pteropodidae
Source: RNAcentral